GGCCUUGUACACACCGCCCGUCACACCAUGGGAGUGGGUUGCAAAAGAAGUAGGUAGCUUAACCUUCGGGAGGGCGCUUACCACUUUGUGAUUCAUGACUGGGGUGAAGUCGUAACAAGGUAACCGUAGGGGAACCUGCGGUUGGAUCACCUCCUUACCUUAAAGAA
Molecule: ribosomal RNA, 167 nt
Filed under: Klebsiella pneumoniae
Lineage: Bacteria; Pseudomonadati; Pseudomonadota; Gammaproteobacteria; Enterobacterales; Enterobacteriaceae
Also listed under: 1 other name
Description: partial 16S ribosomal RNA
Rfam family: Bacterial small subunit ribosomal RNA
Source: RNAcentral